CUGGCGGCUGAAGAGGGUUAGGGAGGCUAGGGUUUUCUGACAUUGUUUAAGUUUUUGGGCUUAUCUGACCGCCUAGGGUUUUAUUAUUUUGGGUUUGGGCUAUUUGGGCCUAUUGUAAGUGGACUGGGAAUGUUAAUUUAUUUAUUUUUUGGUUUUUUUUGUUGGGCCCGGGCAAAAACGGCCUAUUACAAUGGUAGCUGUCUUGUUUUCUCAAUGAAAGCAUUUUCUGAAAAUAACAAUAAACUCAUUAUGUUGCACUAGAUGUAGUAAAUUAGCCAUAAAUUAUUAUAAUAUUUUGAAUGUCUGAAUGAAUAAAAUAUAUUAGUAUAAGAUGGAACAUUUUUA
Molecule: long non-coding RNA, 345 nt
Filed under: Gossypium raimondii (Peruvian cotton)
Lineage: Eukaryota; Viridiplantae; Streptophyta; Magnoliopsida; Malvales; Malvaceae
Description: long non-coding RNA (GRAI_LNC002716)
Source: RNAcentral